UGUUUGUUGUUGUUGCUGCUCUUCGAUGCUGCCUUCUUCUUUCUUCCUGUUGGAUGUGUAUUAUUUUACCUUUGAAAAUUGGAAUGCUAUGUAAUAUGUAUUUUUAUGGCUUUGAGAAUUAUUUUAUAAUUUGCCUUAGUUACUUUUUUAAAAAAAAUUCUUUAUCUUAAUACUUACAUGCUACGAAUCAUUGGUCUAUAUUAAUUUAUCUAUUUUUACUGAGACUGUGAGCCUUACUUUAAUAAAGUCUGCUCCUCGCCUUGUGCCUAAGCCCCAAGAGACAUUUGGUGCCUUGGUUCGCCUUGAGCCUUUAAAAACACUGGACUUGAAGUUCUUGAAUGAAUUUCUGUUUUGGCAGACAUUGAACUAUGUUUAUUUGUUCUUCUGCUGGUUUUUUCCUUGCAAUUCCAAGCAUAUAUUAUAUGUGUCUGGUGCAAUGAUUUCUCUACAAUUAACUUUUUUAUUCAAUGUUGGAUGGUAAACCAUAUUAUCGGGCCAUACAAGCAUACAAACCUGUGAAUCAAUGCUAGAAAAUUAUUAUUCCAGUUUGAGGGUCCAAAUUUUGGCUGCCUAGCAUCUUAAUGAUCCAAACUAUCUUGAAUGGAUGGUAAGCACUAGCUGGAUUACAUGAUUGUGUUUUUCUUCUUUUGUAGAGCUAUACUUGCAUAUGAGACUAUUUGAGACCUACCUAAUAAUUGUAUUUUUUUAUUUUGAAAGGAAGAUAGAUUUAUGUCACCAUAAAGAUCUGAGCGCACUACUAGAAUGUUUUAGAAUAACUGCUUCUAAUUUUAUAUACUAUAUUCCUUGGAUUUAACAAAGUUCAAAACAUAGAAGCAACCUCUUUGUAUGUGGGGUAAGGUUGUGUACAUUUGAUUCUCCCCAAACUGCAUAGUUGCAUGCGGGAGGUCUUGCAUUGCGCUAUGAUUCAUUUAAUUCACUUUUUAUGAAGGCCAUCAAUUCUUCUCUAUAUUCUCACAAGUUUGGUUUGAUUUACACUCGCAACAUCAAGCUUAAGGAGUGAGUUAUUAGUUUCCUUUUUUAUGUAAAUUUAAUUUAAAUCAUAGUUGUGGAUAAUUUUUACCCCUGUAUUUGUAGAAUAUGCUAGUUCUUAAAGCAGAAGAAUUUGUGGCCAUUGAACCCUUGAGGGAGGCAUCACAUUAUCAGCUUAGUACACUCAAAUUCUUGAUAUGUGGGCAUGGGCAACAAAGAAGAGCAAUCAUUGAGGCUGUGAGGCUAUUGGGAAAUGGAAAGAAUAGGCAAAAUCAAGAUGCUCAUAGACAUGAUGAAGAGUUAAAGAUGUAAAUUCUCCACAAUAUUUCAAAGAUAAGUCAAAGAAGUGGCAGAAGUUUGUAGCUCAAGCCAAAGCUUCUGGAAAGACUCCUGAAGAUUGCCAUAAAGUGGGUGAUGCCAUAGGGGCGGCAAUUCUUCAAAACUACAAUGACAUAUUAAGAACUUGUAAUGCUCUGGACUACCAUGACUUAAUCAACUGUUCAGUGAAGCUGCACAGUGAUUUUCCUGAAGUAUUUAAGGAGUGCCAGGAGUCAUGGAAAGCAAUUGUGAUAGAUAAAUUUCAUAUUUCACUUCUUGUGAUAAGUUUUGGAAUGAAUGCUUUUUAAAUAUGUUUCCUUUUCAUUGAUCGUGUGCAAAUUUUGACAGGUUAGAUUAAAUAAGAAUUAUCGGUCCACCCGCUGUAUCGUUGAAGCUGCAUCAUCUCUUAUAAAAAAUAAUUUGAACCGAGGCCAGCUAAAGAAUGUUCUCACUGAUAAUUCUUGUGGAUCUAAGAUUUCUGUAAAGGAAUGUUGUAAUGAGGUUGCACAGUGUGCAUUUGUUGUUGAUAAGAUCUUAGAAAUUACAUCUGAAGGUUCAUCUGCUAAGU
Camellia sinensis is the source of this 1876-nucleotide non-coding RNA. Lineage: Eukaryota; Viridiplantae; Streptophyta; Magnoliopsida; Ericales; Theaceae. The record is from RefSeq and is a predicted model, not a curated record.